Podarcis lilfordi (Lilford's wall lizard) is the source of this 1389-nucleotide non-coding RNA. The record is from the annotation of a GenBank genome assembly. NCBI's taxonomy places the organism in Eukaryota, Metazoa, Chordata, Lepidosauria, Squamata, Lacertidae.
AGGCCCUGUGGUUUAACCCGCAGCGUCACCCGCAUCCCUUAUAGAUGCAUAUAUGACUCCGCUUAGAACAUGGUAGGGGUGAGGAUUCUGUGGUCCUUCAGACGUUGUUAGGCUCCCAACACCCAUUAGCCUGAGCGAGGAUGGUCAAUAUUUGGAGAGCUACAGGUUCUCCAAAGAGGCCUUGCUUCUGAUUAAAGAUAAUGCAUAGAAUUUCUAGGAUGAGAUUUCUCCUUCCCUCAAACUCUUCAAGGCUGAUGAAAAACUUCUCUUUCACAUUUUCCUUUCCUAUCUUAACCUGAAUAUCGAACGUGCUUUGCAAGGAGCCCUGGGCUUGCUUGCUUGCCGCCCCACAUUUCCAUUCUGUGAGUGGAAACCUGUGGAGAAUCAUUUUAAAGGAUCCCUUCUAGGGUUGUGCCUAGUGUUCCAAGGCCACAAAAUUGCAGAUAAUCCCGUUGCAAAGAGCUAAUCUUGAGGGGUAGGUUUUGCGGCUAUAUAUUUCCCACAGAGACACUGCUGAUCCACAGGAGCAGCCCUGUUAUAUCAUAGACAACGCUGGUUGAAUAUGCACGCUUGGAAAAUGCUCAGCGCUGUGAUAAGUGGAAUGGGGAUCAUCAUAUACUCCAGAGUUAAAACAGGGAUGCUGGCAAGGCCUAGCAGACCUUACUGUAGCUCUGGAUGAAUCCAAGUGGUCCUAGGACAGUCCUUUGCGGUGGAAGACAGGACAGUACUGUAGUAAGCAAGCUGUCCAUCAAAGAACCAUGGACAGUAUCUAAGACACGGAUUCCAUUAGCACAAGGAUUCCACAAAAUUGUCGAGUUUGAAGGGACCCAAAUUUGCUCCAGAGGAUUGAGGGAAACCCCAGAACAGUACAAAAGGAAAAGGGAGGAGGUUCUGUUGCACAAGUGUAAAUCCUUACAUUAAUGGAACGUAGUGCUACACAUUGGGUGCAAUCCUUUGACAUCAUUGAUUAUUCUCACUGAGGAGCCUCUUAAUACCUUAUUUUAAAAGCUGCCAAGUGGAAGUGAGCCUGAAGGAAGGAGUGAUGGUUGCCUAGGGCAGGGUUAGGCAGACUUAAGGUAUUUCUUUCCCCCCAAUUAUGAUUUGGAUAUGAAGAUACCCCAAUCAGAGCCAGAUGCAGAAUAAUGGCGGAGAUUGCUCCAGUACACUUCAGAUGAAGAGCACGGUGACUCCUAGGCACAGGAAUUUGCUUUCGGGAUCAGAACUGGUUUCACAAUCCUCAUGCGAGCCCACUUAACGAGAUGUUUCCCCCUGUGCUUUGGAGCUGGAGAACCUUCAGAUGUUGUUAAUCCGAACUAUAGGCUACGCCCGCUGAACCUGAUGGGAACUAGAGUCUUAACUGUAUCUGAAGCUUCACAGGGUGCCCAUCUC